Molecule: ribosomal RNA, 276 nt
Filed under: Clostridioides difficile
Lineage: Bacteria; Bacillati; Bacillota; Clostridia; Peptostreptococcales; Peptostreptococcaceae
Description: partial 23S ribosomal RNA
Rfam family: Bacterial large subunit ribosomal RNA
Source: RNAcentral
AAAAUUUCGUGGAGGUCCGAACCCACGAGCGUUGAAAAGCUCGGGGAUGACUUGUGGGUAGCGGUGAAAUUCCAAUCGAGCCCGGAGAUAGCUGGUUCUCCCCGAAAUAGCUUUAGGGCUAGCCUCAAGGUGAGAGAUACGGAGGUAGAGCACUGAAUGUCCUAGGGGGUAUUGCCCCUACCGAAGACUAUCAAACUCCGAAUGCCGUCAUCUUAUACUUGGGAGUCAGACUGUGGGUGAUAAGAUUCAUAGUCGAAAGGGCAACAGCCCAGAUCG